GGCGGCGAUGGCGCGGAGCGUGCGCGUGCUCGUGGACAUGGACGGCGUCCUCACCGACUUCGAGGCCGGCCUUCUGCGGGGCUUCCGCCGCCGCUUCCCUGAGGAGCCGCACGUGCCGCUGGAGCAGCGCCGCGGCUUCCUGGCCCGCGAGCAGUACCGCGCCCUGCGGCCCGACCUGGCAGAUAAAGUGGCCAGUGUGUACGAAGCCCCGGGCUUUUUCCUGGACCUGGAGCCCAUCCCGGGAGCCUUGGACGCUGUGCGGGAGAUGAACGACCUACCGGAGUAAGGAGAGUGGGGGCAGGCGGAGUCCUGGGCGGGCUCCUGGCUCCCGGCGGUAACCACGUCCUUCUCCGCAGCACGGAGGUCUUCAUCUGCACCAGCCCCCUGCUGAAGUACGACCACUGUGUGGGUGAGAAGGUGUGGCUGCCCCGCCCCUACUCCGCAUUUGGAGCUGCCUAAAUCCUGAUUUUAAAAAGAAACCACCAGAAACCCAGAAGUACCGCUGGGUGGAGCAGCACUUGGGGCCCCAGUUCGUAGAACGAAUUAUCCUGACAAGGGACAAGACGGUGGUCUUGGG
RNAcentral lists this small RNA (577 nucleotides) under Pongo abelii (Sumatran orangutan). RNAcentral describes it as "processed transcript". The record is from RNAcentral. Lineage: Eukaryota; Metazoa; Chordata; Mammalia; Primates; Hominidae.